CGGAGGGAUCAUUAUCGAGUUGUAAAACUCCCACACUUGUGAACGUCGCCGUAGAAGUUGCUUCGGCGGGCGGCCCCUGGGAGGGGCCUUUGCCGCGAGGCGCCCGCCGGAGGACCCCUAUACUCUGAAUUUUUAGGCCUCUCUGAGACUAAGACAAAUAAGUUAAAACUUUCAACAACGGAUCUCUUGGUUCUGGCAUCGAUGAAGAACGCAGCGAAAUGCGAUACGUAAUGUGAAUUGCAGAACUCAGCGAAUCAUCGAAUCUUUGAACGCACAUUGCGCCCGCUAGUAUUCUGGCGGGCAUGCCUGUUCGAGCGUCAUUUCAACCCUCAAGCCCAGCUUGGUGUUGGGGCUCCGCGGCUGCCGCGGGCCCUGAAAAACAGUGGCGGACCUAAGGGAAACCGAGCGCAGUAGCUUAACCUCGCCCGGAUUCUCCCCGAACGUCCUCGCCGUAAAACCCCAUCUUAUCAAGGUUGACCUCGGAUCAGGUAGGAAUACCCGCUGAACUUAAGCAUAUCAAUAAGCGGAGGAAAAGAAACCAACAGGGAUUGCCCUAGUAACGGCGAGUGAAGCGGCAACAGCUCAAAUUUGAAAUCUGCCUCUCGGGGCCGAGUUGUAAUUUGCAGAGGAUGUUUUUGGCGCGGUGCCUUCCGAGUCCCCUGGAACGGGGCG
This 672-nucleotide ribosomal RNA is filed under the name fungal endophyte. RNAcentral describes it as "eukaryotic LSU rRNA". The stretch from base 167 to 320 matches the Rfam family "5.8S ribosomal RNA". The record is from RNAcentral. Lineage: Eukaryota; Fungi.